GAGAAGCCGUCAAUGAAAUUGAGCUGGCGUAAGAUUCCAUCGAGAUUCGGAUUCCUGAGAUCAAAAUACAUAAGGAUAGCAUGACAAACCCUUCCAAAAAAAAUCUGAAUCCUCAUCUCAGAUUUUGAGAAAUCUCAUCGAGACACACAGAUCAAUUAGGACUAAUACCAGAUGCUACGCGUGAACUCAAAGAAGUUUUAUUUUGGGCAGGAAUCCUUCUGAACAAAGACCCGGUGUAAGCACACUUCCUGUUCUAGGUAAGGAGAUGCUCGUCAGAAAGUGCUGAUACCGGAUGAAUAGCGCACAGAAAUCGUUUUACCAUCCUCCACUCAGGAUUUUGCAAAUCGAAUCUGCAAGUUGAAGGAGCGGUGGCAAUUCUCCCUUCAGUACAACCUCAUCGUUAGAGUCUCUUUCUCUGGGUUGGUCUACGAUCAUUCGAUUAGAACAUCCUUGCAUUCGAAAUAAAAAACUGAAACCAAAAUA
Athalia rosae (coleseed sawfly) is the source of this 483-nucleotide long non-coding RNA. RefSeq lists it as uncharacterized. The record is from RefSeq and is a predicted model, not a curated record. Lineage: Eukaryota; Metazoa; Arthropoda; Insecta; Hymenoptera; Athaliidae. The transcript has 3 exons.